GUAAUAGCUCACUGGUCGAGUCGGCCUGCGCGGAAGAUGUAACGGGGCUAAACCAUGCACCGAAGCUGCGGCAGCGACACUGUGUGUUGUUGGGUAGGGGAGCGUUCUGUAAGCCUGCGAAGGUGUGCUGUGAGGCAUGCUGGAGGUAUCAGAAGUGCGAAUGCUGACAUAAGUAACGAUAAUGCGGGUGAAAAACCCGCACGCCGGAAGACCAAGGGUUCCUGUCCAACGUUAAUCGGGGCAGGGUGAGUCGACC
This 256-nucleotide ribosomal RNA is filed under the name Salmonella enterica subsp. arizonae serovar 41:z4,z23:-. RNAcentral's name for it is "partial 23S ribosomal RNA". It matches the Rfam family "Bacterial large subunit ribosomal RNA", at positions 1134 to 1389 of the family's 2925-position model. The record is from RNAcentral. Lineage: Bacteria; Pseudomonadati; Pseudomonadota; Gammaproteobacteria; Enterobacterales; Enterobacteriaceae.